GCGGAGAUGGCAGAAUCUGGUUAUCGCGCACGCCUGGAAAGCGUGUGCCUUUACGGGCUUGGGAGUUCAAAUCUCCCUCUCCGCG
RNAcentral lists this transfer RNA (85 nucleotides) under Microcaldota archaeon. RNAcentral describes it as "Micrarchaeota archaeon tRNA". It matches the Rfam family "tRNA". From Rfam's summary of the family: Transfer RNA (tRNA) molecules are approximately 80 nucleotides in length. Their secondary structure includes four short double-helical elements and three loops (D, anti-codon, and T loops). Lineage: Archaea; Nanobdellati; Microcaldota. The record is from Rfam by way of RNAcentral. RNAcentral also lists the same sequence under 1 other name.